GACGAACGCUGGCGGCGUGCUUAACACAUGCAAGUCGAACGAAGUGGCGAACGGGUGAGUAAUACGUGGGUAACCUGCCCUCCUUUUUGGGAUAAGCCUUGGAAACGGGGUCUAAUACCGAAUAAAGGGGGAUGGGCUCGCGGCCUAUCAGCUUGUUGGUGGGGUGGUGGCCUACCAAGGCGGGGUCGGGUAGCCGGCCGGAGAGGGGGAUCGGACACAUGGGGACGGAGAGACGGCCCAGACGCCUACGGGAGGCGGCAGUUGGGCAUAUUGCACAAGGGGCGAAAACCCGUGGCGGGGGCGCCGAGUGGGGGAUGAAGGCGUACAGUUUGUAAACCUGUGACGAUAGCGAGCGGGUAGGUGGAGAAGAAGCGCCGGCUAACUACGUGCCAGCAGCCGCGGUAAUAC
RNAcentral lists this ribosomal RNA (408 nucleotides) under uncultured bacterium. Its description in RNAcentral is "partial 16S ribosomal RNA". It matches the Rfam family "Bacterial small subunit ribosomal RNA", at positions 28 to 526 of the family's 1533-position model. The record is from RNAcentral.